Molecule: ribosomal RNA, 253 nt
Filed under: uncultured bacterium
Lineage: Bacteria
Description: partial 16S ribosomal RNA
Rfam family: Bacterial small subunit ribosomal RNA
Source: RNAcentral
GACAGAGGGUGCAAACGUUGUUCGGAAUUACUGGGCGUAAAGCGAGUGUAGGCGGUCUGAAAAGUCAGGUGUGAAAGCCCUGGGCUCAACCCAGGAAGUGCACUUGAAACUGCCAGGCUAGAGUAUCGGAGAGGUUGGUGGAAUUCUCGGUGUAGAGGUGAAAUGCGCAGAUAUCAGGAGGAACACCAAUGGCGAAGGCAGCUCGCUGGGACGUGACUGACGCUGAGACGCGAAAGCGUGGGGAGCAAACAGG